GCCGGGCAUGGUGGUGGGCGCCUGUAGUCCCAGCUACUCAGGAGGCUGAGGCAGGAGAAUCGCUUGAACCCAGGAGGCGGAGGUUGCAGUGAGCCAAGAUCAUGCCACUGCACUCCAGCCUGGGUGACAGAGCGAGACUCUGUCUCAA
RNAcentral lists this non-coding RNA (148 nucleotides) under Homo sapiens (human). Lineage: Eukaryota; Metazoa; Chordata; Mammalia; Primates; Hominidae. The record is from Rfam by way of RNAcentral.